Non-coding RNA from Prunus avium (sweet cherry), 770 nucleotides. The record is from RefSeq and is a predicted model, not a curated record. Lineage: Eukaryota; Viridiplantae; Streptophyta; Magnoliopsida; Rosales; Rosaceae.
CCCCUCUCUAAGGUUGAUUCACUGGGCAACACUCUCUGCUCUCUCUUCUCUCCUAUUUCUUCCUUCUCUUCUUUCUUUUCUCUCUACUGCUGGCUCUCUUUCUUUUUGCGUUUCUCUUCUCAUUUUUUUUUAUCUUAGCAGAGGAGUGAAGGUGCCUAUUUAUGGCUGAAAUCUUGAACUGUGGACUGCACCUGUGGAUGUGCAGUUCUUCAUCAUGUGAGUGGAGGGAAUGAGAUAAACUCUCAUGUAACACGGAUAACACUUUUUGCUAUUACCGGCCAAUAAUGCAAUGACACGUAUGAUAAUUUUUCCACAUGUAACGUGGAUAACACUUUUUGCUAUCCCCGGCCAAUAAUGCAAUGACACGCAUGAUAAUUUUUCCACAUGUCAUUGUGUUUUUGAUUGGCAGACAAACCAUCCCCCAAAGUCUUCACUGGUGGGCUCCAUCACUUUACAACAAUUGGUAUUUGGUACAAAUUGAGACCAAAGUCAACAAACCCCACACGGACUCAACCAUUAGAAUAGUUUCAGUUUGGUCAAAGAAUGGACUUACCGAACUGUUCUUUACCUUGAGCUUUCCGUCUAAAGAAAUCCAUAUCUUGUCAUGUGUAAUCUAAAUUCUGCUACUACAGAACAUUUGGGAGUUUGUUGAAUGCUUUUUAUAAUUCCAUUGUAAUAUAUCUCCUGAUUAAUGUCGAUUGGUGUAGUGAUAGCAGUUUUUGCCAUAGGUUUGGGAGUCCUCUUAGUGAAGAUCGUUAUAGUGGUUCUCG